RNAcentral lists this long non-coding RNA (992 nucleotides) under Homo sapiens (human). RNAcentral's name for it is "HSALNT0384456". The record is from RNAcentral. Lineage: Eukaryota; Metazoa; Chordata; Mammalia; Primates; Hominidae.
CUCAAUUUGGAGAGGUCGUUCUCCAGUGGGGAAGAAGGAAUAACAAAAGGAGCAUUUUUGGAGCAUUUAUUAACAGUAUAGGCUAGGCUUUUUUUCUAUGUAUUUUAUAUGUGUCUAUUCAUUUAAUGCCCUUGAUAAUCCACUGAAAGAGGUGUCAUUAUUAUCAUCCCAUUUUACAGAAGAAGAAACUGAAACAAGAAGAUGAGCAUCUCAGCAUCUCAGAGGUGAAGAAACUGGCCUAGCCACCACGUGGUGGCACUUGCAGCCUGAGUCAGCAGAUCCCCAGGCAAAUGAAGACUCUGAGAUGAAGACAGCUGAGCGCAUGAUGGGGUAGGUCAGCCUCCCUCAUGGAAAUUCUGUGUGCCUGAGGCCCACCCUUCCAGUGCAGAUGGAGGGAUGGGAUGGAAAUGAAUCUAGGGGAACGCAUCCCAGCUGUGAUCCAGCCACCUCUGCGUUUGAAGGCUGGGGGUUAUUCCCUCCUCAUGGUUGCCACGCAUUCUUAUGUUUGCAUGUCAUGCUUGGAACUGCCGCAGCCACUUUGUGACAGCCUGAGAAUGAAUCCAGCGCUAAAAUCAGUCUAGCAAAAGGAGGAGAAACACCUGGGUCUCCAUGAUGUCACUGAGCAAGUGAAUUGACCAGCUGUGAGGUACUUCUGUGAUUCCUCCAUCUCACAGGACUGGUGUCCUUAUAAUGAAAGGAAGAGACACUGAGUUCUGUCUCCCAGCCUUGUGAGGACACGUUGAGAUGACUGCAAGCUGGGAAGAGAGCCUUCACCAGGAGCUGAAUUUGCUGGUAGUUUGAUCUUGAACCACAUUGAGAUGACUGCAAGCUGGGAAGAGAGCCUUCACCAGGAGCUGAAUUUGCUGGUACUUUGAUCUUGAACCUCCAGCCUCCAGAAUUGUGACAAAAUAAAUUUCUGUUGUUGAAGCCACUCAGUCAGAUGUUUUGUUAUGGCAGCCCAAGCUGAGCAAUAUACUGACCAUCACUUGAUU